RNAcentral lists this ribosomal RNA (480 nucleotides) under uncultured bacterium. RNAcentral's name for it is "partial 16S ribosomal RNA". It matches the Rfam family "Bacterial small subunit ribosomal RNA", at positions 28 to 523 of the family's 1533-position model. The record is from RNAcentral.
GACGAACGCUGGCGGCGUGCUUAACACAUGCAAGUCGAACGAUGAAGCUCCUUCGGGAAUGGAUUAGUGGCGAACGGGUGAGGAACACGUGAGAAACCUGCCUUUCAUUUUGGGAUAACUCCGGGAAACCGGGGCUAAAACCGAAUACUCCGUCUCGGCGGCAUCGCUGAGCCGGGAAAAAAUUUUGAUGAAAGAUGGUCUCGCGGCCUAUCAGCUAGUUGGUGAGGUAAUGGCUCACCAAGGCAACGACGGGUAGCCGGCCUGAGAGGGCGACCGGCCACACUGGGACUGAGACACGGCCCAGACUCCUACGGGAGGCAGCAGUGGGGAAUAUUGGGCAAUGGGCGCAAGCCUGACCCAGCGACGCCGCGUGAGGGAUGAAGGCCUUCGGGUUGUAAACCUCUUUCAGUAGGGAAGAAGCGAAAGUGACGGUACCUAAAGAAGAAGCACCGGCUAACUAUGUGCCAGCCGCCGCAGUAA